This is a small nucleolar RNA of Lathyrus oleraceus (garden pea), 107 nucleotides long. Lineage: Eukaryota; Viridiplantae; Streptophyta; Magnoliopsida; Fabales; Fabaceae. The record is from RefSeq and is a predicted model, not a curated record.
AUCCCAUGACGUGGACAUUUUCUAAGCAACUUCUUAAAUCUUUCCCAAGAAUAAAAUAAAGAUUCAUCACCUACUUGUCUAAAUGAAGUGAUCUUAUUCCUCAUCUU